This 253-nucleotide ribosomal RNA is filed under the name uncultured bacterium. RNAcentral's name for it is "partial 16S ribosomal RNA". It matches the Rfam family "Bacterial small subunit ribosomal RNA", at positions 524 to 776 of the family's 1533-position model. The record is from RNAcentral.
UACAGAGGGUGCGAGCGUUGUCCGGAAUUACUGGGCGUAAAGGGCGCGUAGGCGGCCUUCUAAGUCGGACGUGAAAUCCCCGGGCUCAACCCGGGAACUGCGUCCGAGACUGGAAGGCUUGAAUCCGGGAGAGGGAUGUGGAAUUCCAGGUGUAGCGGUGAAAUGCGUAGAUAUCUGGAGGAACAUCGGUGGCGAAGGCGGCAUCCUGGACCGGUAUUGACGCUGAGGCGCGAAAGCAAGGGGAGCAAACGGG